UGCGUAGGCGGCUUUUUAAGUCGGAUGUGAAAUCCCUGAGCUUAACUUAGGAAUUGCAUUCGAUACUGGGAAGCUAGAGUAUGGGAGAGGAUGGUAGAAUUCCAGGUGUAGCGGUGAAAUGCGUAGAGAUCUGGAGGAAUACCGAUGGCGAAGGCAGCCAUCUGGCCUAAUACUGACGCUGAGGUACGAAAGCGUGGGGAGCAAACA
RNAcentral lists this ribosomal RNA (207 nucleotides) under uncultured bacterium. Its description in RNAcentral is "partial 16S ribosomal RNA". It matches the Rfam family "Bacterial small subunit ribosomal RNA", at positions 568 to 774 of the family's 1533-position model. The record is from RNAcentral.